GUAUGAUAUGCAAGGCUAACUACAUCUCCCAGCAUUCAUCUGUUGGUUUUCGCCUACUUCCUGAUCCUCUGAAAGUUCGUUCUGCUGAUGGCUUCUCUUUCAUAUCAGGUUGCCAUAUUUGCAUGGGUGCCUUGACCUUAGUUUGUUUGCUUUGCAAAUCAAAUCAGGCCAGUGUUUUAUUUAAAGGCUCAAACAGGCGCUAUGUUCUCCUGAGGCCAUGUUGCAAAGCACAGCCAGUAUAGAGAUAACAGCUCUGAGUCUUCUCCUAUAAUGCCUGAUGAGGUUGGAGAAUACAUGGCAAGGGAUCUGAGACCAUUCCUCCAUACAGAAUCUCUCCAGAGCCUUAAAAUUUUGAGGUCCAUGCUGGUGGCCUCUCCUCUUCAGUUCACCAUACAGGUUUUCUAUGGGUUUCAAUCAGGGGACUGGCAUGGCCAUGGCAGGACCUUGAUUUUGAGGGUAGCCUGGAACCUAUCCCAGAGGACUCAGGGCACGAGGUGGGGGACAUCCUGGACGGGGUGCCAAGCCAUUGCAGGACACAAUUGCACACAUAUGCACACAUUGCAGACAAUUUGGAAAUGCCAAUCAGCUUACAACGCAUGUCUUUGGACUGGGAGAGGAAUCCAGAAUAUCCGGAGGAAUCCCCCCGAAGCACGGGGAAAACAUGCAAACUCCAUGCACACAGGGCGGAGGCAGGAUUCGAAACCCCAACCCCGGAGGUACGAGGCAAGCGUGCUAACCACAAUUCAUGUUACGGCAAAUAUAAACAAUUGUUCCCUCAGCAGCCUGUCUUUCUCUCUCUUCACGUAUAUAACGUUAAUUUAAAAAAUCUUAGUUUGGCAUACUACAGACAAACUGAAAACCUG
Long non-coding RNA from Ictalurus punctatus (channel catfish), 863 nucleotides. The record is from Ensembl. NCBI's taxonomy places the organism in Eukaryota, Metazoa, Chordata, Actinopteri, Siluriformes, Ictaluridae.